Molecule: long non-coding RNA, 2998 nt
Organism: Ostrea edulis (European flat oyster)
Lineage: Eukaryota; Metazoa; Mollusca; Bivalvia; Ostreida; Ostreidae
Exons: 2
Source: RefSeq, a predicted model, not a curated record
GAGACAAUUUUUGCUAAUGUUCAACCAAAAGCGAGGGGGAUUUCACCACCCAUAACCCCUCACUAGAUCCGCAACUGUGUUUGACGAUUGGUGUUAAAUACACAUCCCGAUUACUAUGAAUAAAAAGAGAAACAACAGCAAGCAGAUCAAAAUCUACAAGUUUGAAAAUCCACGUGUCAACGAAAAGGCGAGGAUAACUAUGACAUGUCAAACUUUGCAAUGUUUGAUCUUUCCUAUUGAUUUGUAAUGUAUAUUCAUUUUUUCAUUUGUGUGUGUGUGUAUAUAUAUAUAUAUAUAUAUAUAUAUAUAUAUAUAUUCCAGGGGUGGAUCCAGGAAUUGCGGUUACGGGGGCGCCACUUUAUGAGGCGAGGCCCUGUUGGGAAGCUCCUGGAUUUUGCAGUUGAAAUAUGUCUCCUAUUCUGUCAUUUGUACUAUUUUCUAUCAUUUUUUAUAUGGUGAAAUUAGUAAAAUGACGCCAAUUUUAAGGGUUUUGGAAAAAAUUGGGUUUUUCCAAUAAAAAGAAUUCAAGAAAUUAAAAGAUUUCGUCAUUUAUUUCUCCGGGAGUGGAAGAAAGCAUUGCUUCUUUUAUCGUUUAGUACAUUUUUCUAAACAAGAUACCACGAUUUACCUUAAAUUUGAAAAUUUUAGGGGGAGGGGGGGCGCCGGCUGCGCCCCCCCCCCCCUUAAUCCGCCACUGAUUUUCCUUGUAUUGUAUAUAUUUUUCAUUUGUAUUGUAUAAAAUUUCAUUUGUAUUGUAUAUUUUCCAUUUGUAUUAAGGAAUGAAUUUAUUAUUUUUUCGUUGGAUGAAGGAAUUCCACGAAAAAAAACUGCAUCAUUGCGCGUAGCGCAAAAGUUUUCCGUCUUUUUUUUUCGUGGAAUUCCUCAAUCCAACGAAAAAUUGAUAAAUUCAUUCCUUAUCAUUUAAUAUUUUAAAACAUUGAGUUUAUAUGAUAAAACAUUAUUUGAUUUUAGUUGAAUUAACGAGUUAUUCUUGGACUACAUUCUAUGUCAUUUCGAGAUGGGCGUAGUAAUUUGUGAAUGCACAACUUAAAAAAAAACUAAAUCCGUUAGGCCCAAUGGCGACUUCCACGAACUGUUGUUUACUGUUGAGCAAACGGGUUUCUUGUGGACUGAAGAAUGCAGUUUUAAAAGGGUGAGUUAGAGAUAAAUCCUGUUGAGAGAGAAUUGCAGGAAUUUUGUUGAGUGGUGGAAUUAAGUGCAAAGUUCGAUGUCGGUACUAACGGAGAGCGUGGGACACGUGCAUAAUCAAGAUGUGGGAUGCCAAGUAGGGUUCUCUUGAUGGUUGUCACGGCUUCCAUGUGCACAAUUGAGUGUUACAGAGGGUUUUUCGAGUUUUAUCAGUGAAUUUCCUAAGGCUGUUGUAACGUCGUACGGAAGCCUCAUUUCGGUGCCCACUCAUUAACAUAUUUAGUCCCAAAUAUCUGACGUUUUCCUGGCUUUUUUUUAUGAUUUUGAUAUCUACUGUGCCUUGCAGGAUUAUGGAAGAACAUAUUAUGCCGGAGUUUGAAACUAUAGUCGUUUUAAAGCGCUACGAUAUUGUAGUAUCUCUGAGGCAGUGUGCGGUUUAUCGGGUAUAUUUGGGUUUGUGACAUGAAGGAAGUUGUCGCAAGGUGCAAACUGGACUAUUGUCAUCCCCGGUUGAAUACAUUUAACUCUCAGCCCGGAAUUGCAGAAACCACAGGCCUCUGAAUUUCUAUCAAUAAACCGAGCCGUUAUAUGAUUGAUCAGAGUGAUAUAUAUAUACCCCCUGUGGCAGAAGCAGACGUGUGUUGUUAUAUUUGGGUGGGGUGUCCUCAAAUAGCCAUGUUUAUUUCAUUUUGCAUAAUUAAUCAUUAUUUAUAUUUGAUAUUUGUUUGUUUUUGUUUAAUAAAUUCAUUUAGAUCGAUAGAAUUGUUAAGUUUUUCUUUUCAGGAUUCCCUACUCUAUAUAUAAAUACGAAGCAUCCAGAGGAAUCCUCAACAUUCCAAUAGAAAGUAGUUCCGGCGAUUUAUUUUUUUUCCCCGUUGGAUACUAUAUUCCAAUAAUUUUUCAACUAAUGAAAAAGCGUGUAACAUGUAAAAUUAAAUGAUUUGUAUAACUUUUCAUUUGUAUUUUACAUUUUCCACUUGUAUAAUUUUUCAUUUGUAUUGGUUUUUUCCCCGCGUUUUCAUUAUAUAAGUUUUCAUUUGUAUUGUAUCCGAGGGAUUGCAUAUUUAUUUUCAUUUUUUACAAAUGAUAUCAUUGAUUUAAACCAUGUCUCGAUUAUCAAGACAUACAAUGUUAUUGGGUCCGGAUAGGGCCAUGUGCAAAAGCGUAAUAGCCCGUUUCUUAAAAACUAGCUAUCACGCUAACACACAACACGCCGUCGCGCUAUAAUACACAACACACUAUCGAGCUGUCACGCUAACACGCCUUCGCGCUAAUGUACAACACACCGUCGCGCUGUCGCGCUAACACACAACAAGCCGUCGCGAUUUUGCACAGUCAGUCGCGUUCGAUUGUGUAUUAGCGCAAUAACGCGACAGCGUGUUAGCGCGAGAUAAUAUAAAGUGACAAACGUUUGACUUCAUUUGAACAAAUCGUCUAAAAUAUGUCGAGUUAAUGUGACAUUGUGAAUAAGUCGACAUUUCAGUCAUCGAUUUAAAGUUACAGUUGAAAAUAACGUGAUCAAAAGCGAUUUCAUGAAGUCGAUUGGUUGCUUUAAUGAGAAGAUAUUGUCAAAAAAUAUUCAUUUUGAGCAUAAAAAUGGCAUCUUGUCGACAUCAUUUUGGCGACUUAUAACAAAUAUAAUCUUUCUAAAGUUGUGUAAUAACCUGGACGACAUUCAUUUUAUUGAGUUAAUUUAUGGCAAUAAGCUACAAGUCACUAUGUUGAAUAUGUCGUUGAGUGCAUAAAGAUGAAAACUUAUCGAGUUAAAAAAGUCGUUUAAUUAGCUUGAUAGCGCAACGACGUGUUAGCGUAACAGGGCGACGGCGUGUUGUUUAUUAGCAUGUUAGCG